UCGCGGGGAAGUGUGGGCACCCAGAGAACGACGCACCAUGUAAUUUUGCAGGAUGUAUGGGCGUCGGCCGAAAUUGUAGGUCUCGCGAAUUUUGGCACCACUGAGCAUGUUCUUUCUGUCUGUGAUCUCGUUAAAGAAAAGUAGUGCGCGUCUUGUGUCGUUAAAAGUACAAAAACAAAAACACAUUAAAAGUACAAUGAUUAGUACAGUGUAAAUUAAAAUGCGGAAAAAUAGUACGCCAAAAAAAUCGUUAAAAGAACAACACAUUGUGAACGUUAAGCAGAACAAAACACAUUUAAAAGAAAAGGUCCAAGAGGGCCUUUUCUUGUUCGCAUGCUUUUUCUCCAGUAACAUCGUCCAGCUAGAACGCACAGCGGCACUAGAAACCCAAAUCCAGAAGCAGACAGAAGAGACCACAACCCUAACCUUGCUCGCCACUUCAAGGUUGUCGACGAAGCCCUCCCGGUGCUUGGUAAAAGCUGAGAUCAUCAACAACAAGUUCCAGGCUCUUCCGGGACGCCGGAAAGAGGCCUGCUGAAGCUAUCUUCGUCGUUGAAAACAACCCUAUCAACUUUCGAUGGAAUUCCGUCGACUCAACCUAGUUCUGGCUUACAAACAUCGUUCAACGGUUCCGCUGCAUGCUGCAGCUAAGUACGAAGAAGAAAACCGCAAGUAUGCUAAAAUGAAAAUGUGACGUCACCUUCCCAAAAAUUGUUUAAAAUAAACCCCAACAUUAUGUUUGUAUACAAAUUCAGGCUUUAGUAAUUUGCAAGAGAUAAUUGGUUGAUUUACACCUUUCUUAAAUUCAUAUUCGUUUUUCCAAUCAUUUGCUUAAAAGUUCACUUUCAUGAGAUUACAUGCUUUGCCCGCCUCGAUUUAAUGUUCAUUAAUAGUGUGGACUGGUUGCUAGCAUGCGAAGUAAUCACCCGUGUACGCCCCUGGUCGACUCGAUUCUAACUGGAUCACUCUGCUGCGAGUUCCGCGGAAAGGAAGUGUCGCGUUGCAUCAUCAAAACGACCCUGAGUUCCCAUUUGUUUACCUUUCCCAAAUCCCCACCCACUGAGCUAACUCCGUGUUACAAUUGGCGCCCGCAAAAAAAUUUAGCAACGGUACAUUUCCCCAAAAUCCCGGAGGGAGGAAUAGUAACAGUUCCUGUUAGGCUAUUGAAUCGUUCUUCUAACGAUCGUGAAUCUGAUAACAGAGAGUUUUGAGUUGGUAUUUUGUGAAAAGACUUAUAUCACGUCAUACAAAUAUGUU
This is a long non-coding RNA of Uranotaenia lowii, 1257 nucleotides long. RefSeq lists it as uncharacterized. The record is from RefSeq and is a predicted model, not a curated record. The transcript is spliced from 4 exons. Lineage: Eukaryota; Metazoa; Arthropoda; Insecta; Diptera; Culicidae.